GAUGAACGCUAGCUACAGGCUUAACACAUGCAAGUCGAGGGGCAGCAUGCAGGUAGCUUGCUAUCUGUGAUGGCGACCGGCGCACGGGUGAGUAACGCGUAUCCAACCUUCCCCGUAGUAGGGCACAGCCCGGCGAAAGUCGGAUUAAUACUCUAUGUUGUAUUUUGAGGACAUCUGACGAAUACCAAAGAUUUAUCGCUAAGGGAUGGGGAUGCGUCUGAUUAGCUUGUCGGCGGGGUAACGGCCCACCGAGGCGACGAUCAGUAGGGGUUCUGAGAGGAAGGUCCCCCACAUUGGUACUGAGACACGGACCAAACUCC
RNAcentral lists this ribosomal RNA (320 nucleotides) under uncultured Prevotella sp. RNAcentral describes it as "bacterial SSU rRNA". It matches the Rfam family "Bacterial small subunit ribosomal RNA", at positions 28 to 339 of the family's 1533-position model. Lineage: Bacteria; Pseudomonadati; Bacteroidota; Bacteroidia; Bacteroidales; Prevotellaceae. The record is from RNAcentral.